CUGCGUCUUGCUUCAACAGUGUUUGAACCGAACAG
This is a non-coding RNA of Otolemur garnettii (small-eared galago), 35 nucleotides long. NCBI's taxonomy places the organism in Eukaryota, Metazoa, Chordata, Mammalia, Primates, Galagidae. The record is from Rfam.